GACGAACGCUGGCGGCGCGCCUAACACAUGCAAGUCGAACGAGCGAGAGAGAGCUUGCUUUCUCGAGCGAGUGGCGAACGGGUGAGUAACGCGUGAGGAACCUGCCUCAAAGAGGGGGACAACAGUCGGAAACGACUGCUAAUACCGCAUAAGCCCACGACCCGGCAUCGGGUAGAGGGAAAAGGAGCAAUCCGCUUUGAGAUGGCCUCGCGUCCGAUUAGCUAGUUGGUGAGGUAACGGCCCACCAAGGCGACGAUCGGUAGCCGGACUGAGAGGUUGAACGGCCACAUUGGGACUGAGACACGGCCCAGACUCCUACGGGAGGCAGCAGUGGGGAAUAUUGCACAAUGGGGGAAACCCUGAUGCAGCGACGCCGCGUGGAGGAAGAAGGUCUUCGGAUUGUAAACUCCUGUUGUUGAGGAAGAUAAUGACGGUACUCAACAAGGAAGUGACGGCUAACUACGUG
RNAcentral lists this ribosomal RNA (466 nucleotides) under uncultured bacterium. RNAcentral's name for it is "partial 16S ribosomal RNA". It matches the Rfam family "Bacterial small subunit ribosomal RNA", at positions 28 to 507 of the family's 1533-position model. The record is from RNAcentral.